This 360-nucleotide unclassified non-coding RNA is filed under the name Hevea brasiliensis (rubber tree). The record is from RNAcentral. Lineage: Eukaryota; Viridiplantae; Streptophyta; Magnoliopsida; Malpighiales; Euphorbiaceae.
AUUUGGCCAGAUGGCUUCUCUGUUAAUUGCCAAGUGUCUGCCUUCACCUCCCUAACCGCCUAAACUUCCACCGGCGAUAUUACUCCUCCUUGUAUACCCCUUUUUCCGGCAAAUCUCUUUCAAAAUUUACGCAAAAAUGGGCAAGGAAUCAACGUUUCUCACAGCAGUACACUUGAAGAAGAAACCUAUGAAGAAACACACUACCACCAGACGGAAGCAAUUUUUCAACAAAGUUAUCGAUUAUCUCAAAUCUGAUACUUUCAUGUUUGCGCCUUUAUGUUCUUCCAGUUUCUCCUCCGGAAUUGAGGAAGAUAGUAAACCCUUGGAAGGGAAGGAUGAGAAAUUGGUUAGUAAAAUUGG